CUAAUACAUGCAAGUCGAGCGAACAGACAAGGAGCUUGCUCCUUUGACGUUAGCGGCGGACGGGUGAGUAACACGUGGGUAACCUACCUAUAAGACUGGGAUAACUUCGGGAAACCGGAGCUAAUACCGGAUAAUAUUUCGAACCGCAUGGUUCGAUAGUGAAAGAUGGUUUUGCUAUCACUUAUAGAUGGACCCGCGCCGUAUUAGCUAGUUGGUAAGGUAACGGCUUACCAAGGCGACGAUACGUAGCCGACCUGAGAGGGUGAUCGGCCACACUGGAACUGAGACACGGUCCAGACUCCUACGGGAGGCAGCAGUAGGGAAUCUUCCGCAAUGGGCGAAAGCCUGACGGAGCAACGCCGCGUGAGUGAUGAAGGUCUUCGGAUCGUAAAACUCUGUUAUUAGGGAAGAACAUACGUGUAAGUAACUAUGCACGUCUUGACGGUACCUAAUCAGAAAGCCACGGCUAACUACGUGCCAGCAGCCGCGGUAAUACGUAGGUGGCAAGCGUUAUCCGGAAUUAUUGGGCGUAAAGCGCGCGUAGGCGGUUUUUUAAGUCUGAUGUGAAAGCCCACGGCUCAACCGUGGAGGGUCAUUGGAAACUGGAAAACUUGAGUGCAGAAGAGGAAAGUGGAAUUCCAUGUGUAGCGGUGAAAUGCGCAGAGAUAUGGAGGAACACCAGUGGCGAAGGCGACUUUCUGGUCUGUAACUGACGCUGAUGUGCGAAAGCGUGGGGAUCAAACAGGAUUAGAUACCCUGGUAGUCCACGCCGUAAACGAUGAGUGCUAAGUGUUAGGGGGUUUCCGCCCCUUAGUGCUGCAG
This 822-nucleotide ribosomal RNA is filed under the name bacterium BVDU01-BS-MAR-313-LIP03. RNAcentral describes it as "bacterial SSU rRNA". It matches the Rfam family "Bacterial small subunit ribosomal RNA", at positions 48 to 851 of the family's 1533-position model. The record is from RNAcentral.